UCCCGCCUCUGGGAGAUGUAGGG
This 23-nucleotide non-coding RNA is filed under the name Arabidopsis thaliana (thale cress). Lineage: Eukaryota; Viridiplantae; Streptophyta; Magnoliopsida; Brassicales; Brassicaceae. The record is from RNAcentral.